Molecule: ribosomal RNA, 443 nt
Filed under: uncultured bacterium
Lineage: Bacteria
Description: partial 16S ribosomal RNA
Rfam family: Bacterial small subunit ribosomal RNA
Source: RNAcentral
CCUACGGGAGGCAGCAGUGGGGAAUAUUGGGCAAUGGGCGCAAGCCUGACCCAGCAACGCCGCGUGAAGGAAGAAGGCUUUCGGGUUGUAAACUUCUUUUCUCAGGGACGAAGCAAGUGACGGUACCUGAGGAAUAAGCCACGGCUAACUACGUGCCAGCAGCCGCGGUAAUACGUAGGUGGCAAGCGUUAUCCGGAUUUACUGGGUGUAAAGGGCGUGUAGGCGGGAAAGCAAGUCAGAUGUGAAAACCAUGGGCUCAACCUGUGGCCUGCAUUUGAAAAUGUUUUUCUUGAGUACUGGGGAGGCAGACGGAAUUCCUAGUGUAGCGGUGAAAUGCGUAGAUAUUAGGAGGAACACCAGUGGCGAAGGCGGUCUGCUGGACAGCAACUGACGCUGAGGCGCGAAAGCGUGGGGAGCAAACAGGAUUAGAUACCCGAGUAGUC